Molecule: unclassified non-coding RNA, 223 nt
Filed under: Hevea brasiliensis (rubber tree)
Lineage: Eukaryota; Viridiplantae; Streptophyta; Magnoliopsida; Malpighiales; Euphorbiaceae
Source: RNAcentral
AUUUUUGGGCCCUUUUUUUGCAUUAGGGAACUACCUGGGUGAAUGAACUUUGGCCGUUAUCUUAUUCUUAGGUCCCUGCAGAUGAUAUCUCUCUGUGCAUUGCCUCAUUUGAGAGAUGGGCGAUGAUUAGACCCUAGAUUUUAUGCACAGAUAUUUGUGAUCUUGAAUGACACAAUUUCACAGCAUAGUUUUCUCUAAUCUCCAACUAGUCAUUUUACCUGUG